GAAGGAUCAUUACUGACAAUUAACUAUUUUAAGUUUUUUAUAUCCCAUUGUUUACUUACCCUGUUGCUUUCACUGGACAGAUUUCACCUUGUGUGGGUCCUUUGGCUUGUGUGAAAUACCACUUGCCAAAGAGUUGCCAGUGGUAAGACCUAUUUAUCAAAACUUGAGUUUCAAUAAACACAACUGUCUGAAUAUUUUUUUUCUUUAAUGAAAUAAAACUUUCAACAACGGAUCUCUAGGCUCUUGCAUCGAUGAAGAACGCAGUGAAAUGCGAUAAGUAAUGUGAAUUGCAGAAUCUCGUGAAUCAUUGAAUCUUUGAACGCACAUUGCGCCCUAUGGUAUUCCAUUGGGCAUGCCUGUCUGAGCGUCAGCUCCCCCUCCACUCAAGAAUCAUUUUAUAUGAUACUUGGAUUACUUUGGAGAUGUAACUGUAUAUUAAGUUGCCCUCCAGAAAUUUAUUGGCAGUAUGGCCCUUUGUACUUGGACCAGACGUAAUAGUAAUAAAAUCGUUUGUUUGGGCCUUUAUAAUUGAUUGUACUUGCCCUUAACCCCCCACCCCAUUUUUAUUUUGGGUGACCUCAGAUCAGGUAGGGUAUAGCACCGCUGAACUUAAGCAUAUCA
Molecule: ribosomal RNA, 621 nt
Filed under: Terfezia boudieri
Lineage: Eukaryota; Fungi; Ascomycota; Pezizomycetes; Pezizales; Pezizaceae
Description: eukaryotic LSU rRNA
Rfam family: 5.8S ribosomal RNA (bases 217-370)
Source: RNAcentral